UUUGGUAGCCCUGUGGAUGCUGUGUGGUGUCUGGAAUGGGGCGUGUGUGUUCCCAUCAUACCCCUUCCCCUCUGCCUGCAGAGCUGAGGACAGACAGGUCUGAGGAGCAGAGCAGGAGCUCUGGGAAGGAGAAAAGCAAUAUGAAGAUGGAGUCUAAGAUGAGACCAGGGAAAAGAAGUCAUGGGGACGGAGUCCAGCCCUGAGGUGAGAUGGAAAGUGAUCAAGAGCAGUGACAGCGUGAAUCCUGUUGAUGCCAGGCAAGAGCUCCCCAACUGAGACAAGAGUAACCGUCCCUGUCGGUGAGAUGUGUAUCUGGUUUGGGAAGGGUUCUGGUCACAGCCGUACUGGCUCCAGGCAGGGACUUCCCGUUACCUGGGUGUGGGUUUCCGGACUAGCUGUGGCUUCAGGGGAGAUGAUGUUGCCAUUUGCGAGAUCUGAUCAUCUCUCUGGCCAGGAGUGGUGUGUGCUCCCUAGCAGAAAGUUGGAUCCAUGAGGGUGA
Gopherus flavomarginatus (Mexican gopher tortoise) is the source of this 499-nucleotide long non-coding RNA. RefSeq lists it as uncharacterized. NCBI's taxonomy places the organism in Eukaryota, Metazoa, Chordata, Testudines, Testudinidae. The record is from RefSeq and is a predicted model, not a curated record. The transcript is spliced from 2 exons.